Molecule: transfer RNA, 85 nt
Filed under: Felis catus (domestic cat)
Lineage: Eukaryota; Metazoa; Chordata; Mammalia; Carnivora; Felidae
Rfam family: tRNA
About the family: Transfer RNA (tRNA) molecules are approximately 80 nucleotides in length. Their secondary structure includes four short double-helical elements and three loops (D, anti-codon, and T loops). Further hydrogen bonds mediate the characteristic L-shaped molecular structure. tRNAs have two regions of fundamental functional importance: the anti-codon, which is responsible for specific mRNA codon recognition, and the 3' end, to which the tRNAs corresponding amino acid is attached (by aminoacyl-tRNA synthetases). tRNAs cope with the degeneracy of the genetic code in two manners: having more than one tRNA (with a specific anti-codon) for a particular amino acid; and 'wobble' base-pairing, i.e. permitting non-standard base-pairing at the 3rd anti-codon position.
Source: Rfam by way of RNAcentral
GUCUGGGUGGCUCAGUCGGUUGAGCAUCUGACUUCGGCUCAGGUCAUGAUCUCACAGUUUGUGGGUUCGAGCCCUGCGUCGGGCU